AAACCCAUCACUGACGGAGCUGGACCUGAGUGGUAAUAAACUGGGAGAUUCAGGAGUGAAACUGGUGUCUGUGGCUCUGAGGAACCCGGAGUGUAAAAUACAGACACUGGGGCUGAGGAAUGUCGGUCUCACAGAUUCUGGUGUCGAGGAUCUCGUCUCCGCUCUCAGUACAAAACCAUCACUGACGGAUCUGGACCUGAGUGAAAAUAAACUGGGAGAUUCAGGAGUGAAACUGGUGUCUGCGGCUCUGAGGAACCCAGAGUGUAAAAUACAGAAGCUGCAGCUGAUCCAUGUCGGUCUCACAGAUUCUGGUGCCGAGGAUCUCGUCUCCACUCUCAGUACAAACCCAUCACUGACGGAUCUGGGCCUGGGAUUCAACUCUCUGACAGACCGAUCUGUCCCCGGUCUCCGCCGCCUCAUAGUGACCCUCCCGAGUCUGGAGUUGAUCUGGCUGUUGGGGAAUCGGUUCAGUGAGACCGGGGAGAAGGAACUGAGAUCUCUGCAGGGAUUCAGACCCGGACUGACAGUGGAUCUGUGAAAAUCUGAAUGUGUGAACAUCUGAAUGUGGUGAAUCGGUUCAGUGAGACCGGGAUGAAGGAACUGAGAUCUCUGCAGGGAGUCAGAACCGGACUGAGAGUGGAUCUGAGAACAUCUGAAUGUGGUGAAUCGGUUCAGUGAGACCGGGAUGAAGGAACUGAGAUCUCUACAGGAACCCAGACCUGGACUGAUGGUGGAUCUGUGAACAUCUGAAUGUGUGAACAUCUGAAUGUGGUGAAUCGGUUCAGUGAGACCGGGAUGAAGGAACUGGGAUCUCUGCAGGAACCCAGACCCGGACUGAGAGUGGAUCUGUGAACAUCUGAAUGUGGUGAAUCGGUUCAGUGAGACCGGGAUGAAGGAACUGGGAUCUCUGCAGGAACCCAGACCCGGACUGAGAGUGGAUCUGUGAACAUCUGAAUGUGGUGAAUCGGUUCAGUGGGACCGGGAUGAAGGAACUGCGAUCUCUACAGGAACCCAGACCCGGACUGAGAGUGGAUCUGUGAACAUCUGAAUGUGGUGAAUCGGUUCAGUGAGACCGGGAGGAAGGAACUGAGAUCUCUACAGGAACCCAGACCCGGACUGAGAGUGGAUCUGUGAACAUCUGAAUGUGGUGAAUCGGUUCAGUGAGACCGGGGAGAAGGAACUGAGAUCUCUGGAGGAACCCAGACCCGGACUGAGAGUGGAUCUGUGAACAUCUGAAUGUGAUGAAUCGGUUCAGUGACACCGGGAUGAAGGAACUGAGAUCUCUACAGGAACCCAGACCCGGACUGAUGGUGGAUCUGUGAACAUCUGAAUGUGGUGAAUCGGUUCAGUGAGACCGGGAUGAAGGAACUGAGAUCUCUACAGGAACCCAGACCCGGACUGAGAGUGACCAUGUGAACAUCUGAUUGUGGUGAAUCGGUUCAGUGAGACAGGGAUGAAGGAACUGAGAUCUCUACAGGAACCCAGACCCGGACUGAUGGUGGAUCUGAACAUCUGAAUGUGGGGAAUCGGUUCAGUGAGACCGGGAUGAAGGAA
Long non-coding RNA from Hypanus sabinus (Atlantic stingray), 1554 nucleotides. RefSeq lists it as uncharacterized. The record is from RefSeq and is a predicted model, not a curated record. The transcript is spliced from 4 exons. Lineage: Eukaryota; Metazoa; Chordata; Chondrichthyes; Myliobatiformes; Dasyatidae.